Schistosoma haematobium is the source of this 45-nucleotide non-coding RNA. Lineage: Eukaryota; Metazoa; Platyhelminthes; Trematoda; Strigeidida; Schistosomatidae. The record is from Rfam.
AUCCAGCGGACCACUCCCAAAUAGGACGAAACGCGCGUCCUGGAU